Molecule: transfer RNA, 74 nt
Filed under: prasinophyte sp. MBIC10622
Lineage: Eukaryota; Viridiplantae; Chlorophyta
Description: tRNA-Met
Rfam family: tRNA
About the family: Transfer RNA (tRNA) molecules are approximately 80 nucleotides in length. Their secondary structure includes four short double-helical elements and three loops (D, anti-codon, and T loops).
Source: RNAcentral
CGCGGGGUAGAGCAGUCUGGUAGCUCAUCGGGCUCAUAACCCGAGGGUCAGUGGUUCAAAUCCACUCUCCGCCA